Strigops habroptila (Kakapo) is the source of this 7525-nucleotide long non-coding RNA. The record is from Ensembl. NCBI's taxonomy places the organism in Eukaryota, Metazoa, Chordata, Aves, Psittaciformes, Psittacidae.
UUUUUUUUUAAUUACAACACAAUGAAACAAUGGUAAGUACAUAAGAUGCAAUAGUAUAAAAAGCCAUUUUAACCCUUCCCUUGGUUAAGACACAGCAGACAAGAACUGCCCCACCCCAAUUUGCCCCUUCUCAGAUGAAAAUGAAAAAUAAAUAUAAAUUAAUAAAUAUAAAACAAAUCACUGCACAGCCCUUAACUCUUUGAUUGCCAUGGCAAGAACCAUAAUGAUGAUUCUAGCAUGUGACUUUCUGUGGUUAAAGGUUGCCGCAGCAGUCAAAGGGUUAUAGCAUUGUAAACGUAAGUACUUUGUUGAAAAUGUUCAGUCAUGUUAAUGGUCUACAGCAACGAGAUUAUUAUCAUGACCCCUUGACCUUUAAUGACACAACAUUAUAAGGAGUUAAAAAGAUAAUAGCUUGGUGAGCUGUUACAUAGAUUAAUUAACCCAUUUCAUUUAACAAUGCACUAUGAGGUCUUGAUUUACUAAUAAAAGACAACUUGUGUGUAAUAAAACACUGUUCAAUGCAUUGAUCAAUAAAAUCAAUGAAAAAAAAUCAGUCUAAGCACCACAAAAUUUUGCCUGAUUAUAUCUGACAGUCAUAAUACACUUUAGCACCAUUUAGUCAGCCUUGCAUUUGCACACAAACAAGCUUUGUGUUUGUCAGUAGAAGCUACCUGAAGGAUAACAUAUGUCAGUUAUAAAAAGGCUACUGUAUAGAAUGCUGUGUGAGCCAAUAAAAUAAAAUAAAAAAAAUAACAAUAAAAAACCAAAAUUUAGUUGCAGAAAGCAAAUAAAUGCUCCAGUUAUCUUGUUACUAACACACACCCUAAAGAGCCAAACGCAGGCAUGAAAUGCAUAUGGGGCUAUGCAGAGAAAAGGGAAUGAGAAAUUUGCAUCAUAUAGAGAAAUCAUCACAUCCGUGUUCUGACUUAUUUGUCAGGCUUUGUAAAUUAAAUGAAUAGUUGUUGGGUGGUUCAAGAAGCAGAGCUUGAAAAGAGCUGAUGUUUAACAAUGUGUGAGUUUUAUGCUCACGUUAUGCAUAAAAACACUUUCACAGAUAACCUAACAACAACUGCACCAAUAUCCUUGUCUCUGCAUGAAGUAUCGAUUUCCUCUUUUUCAGAGGUGAAGCAUGAACAAACAAAUCACAGUGUGAAAGGAGUCAAAACUGUAGUAGCUUCCAGCUAACAUUGGAACUAGAACAAUUUCUGCUGGAAUUACAGGGAGAAAGGAAUGGCAACAAGAUGGAAAACAGAAUCAGCUGCUAAAAAACCAUCCAAAAAGCAGAACUAAACAAGAAAUCACGUUCUGGUAGAUACAAGAGUAUAGCACUUGGGAGAGAAAGCAAGGUGCAUGUCAUUCAGAAAGUAACAGAAACAAGAAUGUGUAUGAAGCAUGGAAAACAAUGUAUCUUUCUUGUACAUAUCCAUAUCAAACUCUGACUACUCACUGACAAAACCAGCUGUACACACUUUAACUGCUAACAGUACUAAUCACAGGACUGGCUAGGAGCAGACAUCACCUCCCUCAAUCAGCUUCUGAUCAUAUAGGAACACUUAUCACAUACAAUAAACCUACAGAAGUCAAACACUGCAUCUUCCUUUGCAAGUCGUGACUGAAUUGUGCAAUGAAUCCAAUUCCCAGACUACAGCAGCAGAUGUCAGAGAGUACUUCAUAAAUAUGUUAUUUAUGAUACCUAAAAAAUAGGAUCAAUCAGAAAACAAUACAUAAUAGCAAAGCAUUCUGCCAUGCAACAGUGCUAGCUUAUUAUGCUACAGCAGUAAUGUAAUGGUAGCUGAUGUAGGAGUAUGAACUGACUUGUGGUAGAGGAAGGAAUCCAGACGUAUAAUUAUUGUCUGAAUAUCCAUGGCACAGAUCAUAGGCACCAGAAUGCAAAGGAGAAAUUGAGACUGUUUAAGAUGAGAAUUAGAACCACUGGAAAUAAUACAAACAUUUUUGAAAUGCGACUUUCUAGACUGCUCACCUCUCACAGAUGGCAUAAACCAUGCAUGCAAACAGCAUGCAAUGGCUCGCAUCAAAAAUGAUAGGUCUGUGCUGUUAUACUGUUGUACAUGUGACCACACAAGUAGACACAAGAUGCAAAUAAGGAGCCCAUGAUGGUCAGUGAGGGCUGUACUAUGUCAUUUUCAUAAAAGACUUAAAGGACAGCAGUGUAAAUGGAUGGCAGAGACUUCAAUGAUCUGGAGCGAGUAGUUUGGAGCUCAGUGUUGAAGAACUGGACAAUGAAGAAGAUUUAGUGAAAGACAUAUAGUAAGUUCCUCAAAUGUUCACAGGAGUUUCUGAGAAGGUACCACUUCUUCACCAUAGACACAAAAACCUGCAGACUGUAAAACAUUACGUGUGUGAUUGAGAUAGACAACAAAACUGUAUUUUCUUCUUUUCUCUGUAUUGCGAACAGAUAAUUUCUUACUUGUCCACCAAAAGCAUAUAAAAUUUAAUAUUGCCUUAUUUAUUCAGGAAAUGUGCCAGGGCACAGUGAAAAAAGAGGGUGGAGGAGAAUCAAAAGUUUGAUUGUAUGUAUCAGUUUACAUAAAGAAAUAGCAAUAGAUGAUCCAUCCAAAGGUCAUAAAAGUAUUUCUAUUACAUCAAACCCUUCAGGACUGAGAUAUCAUGGAGAUACUGACACAUGGCCAUAAUAUAGACUAAUAGAGGUAAAGGCUUCUUUGUCCUUCAGUAUUUCAUCCAGUGGAGUUCUUCAAAUUAUAGAUAACUUUUUGGUUCUAAUUUCUGAAAUCAAACGUAAGAACAUUUCACUGUGGCAAGUUUUUGCACAUAUCAGGCUGAUGUUAGUUUGACUAAAUCUCUCUCAAAAGAUUUUUGAAUGCAGCAGAUAAAUAAUGCACUUUACGUAUUUGUAGUCAGGUUCAGAGUAACUGUCCGAGGAGCUUUUUGACUGACUGCUCUCUGGUGUGUUAUGACAACAGACGUAGAUUUCAGUGGACUUCCUAUGGCCUAACAGGUAUCUUUGCUGUUGGAGACCUGUAACACUUGCUAAGUUAUGACCAACUUCUUGAUAAUAUCUCUUCUCUUUUAUUGCUGAUUGAUUACAUAGCAGUUACAUGCAAUUCUAGUGGUGUCAGUGGUCCUUGACUCCUUCCCUUUCUGAGAAACUGGGUUUGUACUUGUAAUUAUAAAUAAAAAUGUUUUCAUUCCUUUUCUUAUAUCCUUCAGGAAAUGAAAAAUGGAAAUGUGCUCAUGCUGCUUUUUCUGUGCCUGUGUGCAAUCUUUGACCAAAAGAUCUAGUUUGCUUUCCUGUGGAUCCUAGAAAUUGUGGAAAGAAAGUUUAUGACUAAUUAAGUUUCCUCUGAGAAAGAUUUCAGUAGGAUAUUCCUUUAAAUCUGUAUUUGUCAUAGUUGUGAAAAGCUGUGAUCCAAGAGCUACCACCUUCAAAGGAAUGCAUAUUGCUAGCAGAUAAUGAACUGUGCAUCUUGGAUGAUGAUAAGGAAGGAUCAUAAUCCUUGAUCUAUUCUAUCAAAUGGUUUUCGACCAGACACAGUAAGACAGUACUGUGCAUGAACUGACAAGAGAUUUCGGUUUUAGAAACAUAGUAAAGAUAGAUGUUAGGCAUACAGCUUAGCUGACAAUGUUUUACCAACUGUGUUAUAUAGAGUAAAAAGAUGAUUUGCGUUAUCACACAUCCCUUUAAUUCUAGAUUCCUGUUCAAGAUAAAAUUUUCUUGGGUAUAAUCACCUCAGGUAUUUCUGUGAGCUGUAUGAAUUUUGACAAUGGCUAUCCUGAAAGACUUUUUAAUAGUUUUCAUGUACCUCGCGACACAUGGCCAGAGUUCAUAGCAUUUUAUCAUAUGAGGUAAAACACAACCAUGUAAAUACAAGCCACAGCUGUGCCCUGCAGGUAUGAAUUGUAGUCGUCAUGAUCAUUUAAAACAUCGUUUAAAACAGCGCUGUAGGUUGCUGAUGAUGUCUUCUGAAUACACCACAUGUACCAUUUCCUAAGCGAUAUAACUCUACUUAUAUCCAAAGAAACAAACUGCUUGGAACUGACUCAAACAUGGUUACUUCCAUAAGAUAUGAUCACUAUGUGAGCACUGACAAUUUUGUAGCAAUAGCCAAGCAUACAACAAGCAUACAUGGUAUGCGCAUCUUUGUUUAAAUUAAUUGUAUGCCUAAAUAUGGGGCUGUGCGUUUCAACUGGAAUAUAUCAGUUGUACAUUAGUACUUUUGGAACUAUAUAUAAUAUCAUGUAAUUAUGAACACUGAGAAAAAUUAUUACAAAUUAUCAUUUUACAUUAUGGAAAAAAAUACUUUCUUUGAGGAUGCAAAAUGAUAGUAAGUAAAUCAAAAUUUGUUCAUACCUUAUAAAUGAGUUAACACUGAUUACCUGCUGGGCCUAAGCACUCUCACCUUCCAAAAGGCAGAUGCUUUUACGUACAGCCAUGUAAGCUACGGAUAUGUGUGUAGACUGGGUGUUAAACUGUGCCAACACAUCAGGAUGGAAAUAUGGAUUAGAAACAUCAUUUUCUGAUUUAACACACUACUUUUUGCAAGUGGUGAGCCCAUCUGGUGGAGCUACACUGUUCUGUUGCCUGUAAGUAAUAUAAUACUUCACUGAAAACUCUUCAAAUUGUUAAAGGCUAACCAGGUCCUUUAGGAAGUUAUUUUAUCCCAGCUUCCCAGAAAGCCAGUUCCCCAAAUGAUGGAUGGGCAAAGGGAUGAACCAGGACACAUGUAUGCACACAAUGAAAGUGAUUAUUCCAUGUGUUAGUACCAGAUGGCAAGAUGGGGAGAAUGUUCAGUAUAUAUUUUACUGCAACAACAUGGGCGUGAAAGGCUAUGAAUUAAGAUAUGCCUAUAGCUCGCCAAGGAGAUUAAGGUUGUAGUUAUAAAAAGCAUGUGAUGCAAUUUCAUAGGGUAGAAAUUACUAUUAACUAAAUAGAAAGCUUUGGCUUACAUGGUGGUUAUAACUAUCAUCUGUGAACAAUGUCAUUCUACAGAAGCAGAAGAAACUGAGCUGUGGGACUGGAAAGCUUUGUGCCAUCAUAAAUGGCUGGAAAGUGUAAUGACCAUUGUUUAUGUAGUUUUACUAUGACAGCACAUAGCACUGUGCUGCAUGCAUAUCCAAGUGUAGAAAAUUGUCUUUAGCAUGCUAGUUUACAUCAGCAUUUCUUCAUUUACGUCUUCUCUGCCUCUAAAAUUUAUUUCAUCUAUACUGUGGGCAGUACUUAAGGCUGUUUAUAUAGGGCAAAUGUACUUUAUGUACACCUCACAGAAUGCCAUAUCUCAAAGACAUAAUGGGCAGCUGCAACUGCAAACGUUAAUAAACUGACUAUAAUUUGUAGAUGAUAUGCUAAACCUUAUGUGCACUGGGAAACAAGACCUGUUUAAGAUGCAUGUGUUUAAUGCUGCCUACAUACUACUUAGAAAUACAUUUUGAUUUUAGGAACAGAUGCUUGCAGUGGUCACAUACUGAUGACCCUUCAAAAUAUGACCUCCUGAUUAGGGCUUUCCUAGUUACAUACACACAUCAAAUAAUGUCACAUCAUACAGAAUUUAUGUUGCCUAACAUUAGAUCAAGCAUCAAAUGGAACCAGUCUGCAGCAAGUUAUUGUAUGCUUUUGAUGCUUACCAGACAUUUUCAGCAUUGAUGGCACUGAUGACAAUGUCUUUUUCUAUCAGCCUCUGUCAUCUCAGAUAGCAAAUCACAAGAAUGGGUUGGACAGAUUUGACUCACACAUUCCAUUUUUCAUGAGACCAGUGACAGAUAAUUCAUUGAUUUACAUGCAUAAAUCAAACAUCAAUUUUAUGAGUAUAUGGUUCAUUUACACCUGAUUUUGUAACUGACAUAUGUUUAAAUGGUCUUGUCCUAUGUGAACCACUGUUUAUCUGCAGUCUGUGUAGUGUAAGCUAAGGAAGUACGCCUAACAUUGCAGUGCUGGUGAAUCAGUUGCGGCUUACCAUCGUAUUCAAUUACAGGUUAUCUGUUCCUUAGUUCCCACACAGUAUUGUUUGAUUUACAGCAUAGGUGAACACCUAAGUGGCCAGUGACAUUUGUUCCCUCUACUGGUAAUAAUAAUUUUCCUUAUGGCUCAUAGGGCUGCAGUCACCUAUUUAUACUUCUGGAAAUAGAGCUGUCCAAAGACAAUCUUGACAACAACAAGAGGUGACAAGAGAGCUAUUGCUCUGUAACGGCUGCUUCACAUCUCCUACUGCCACGGUGCACGGCUUCACCUAUGUAACUGGUAAGACGAUUUAGGCCGUGUUGUGAGAAGAUAAGGGAGCCAGGAUAGAGCAAGACCAUGAAGUCAUAUCCUUGCUCCUCAGCCCAGUGAUCUUGUGCUAUCUCAAAUUUAGGCUGCUAAUGGUGCGGUAGCUUGCAUUUCUACCUUCUUGAAAAUGCAGUGCCUGGAACAUUCACUCCUCAGUUUGCUAUGUGUCUUUUUUAAGGUUUGCCUUAGCUAUGGUUCAAAUGAAAAAAAAAACUAGAAUAGGAAUGUAAUUCUUCCAUUGUUUAUAGGCAGACCUACUUUCUAUUCUAUGCACUUUUUUCUAACCAACAAGCUAGAAUUUUAUUCUAUAUAAUUUGGUACCAAAAGCUACAUUUAACUGACACUAAGAUUGUGAAGUAAGACCCCAAAAAGAGUUGAAAGUUCAAUAAUUAAGCCUUACACUCUGUUCUUAGCCCACAGUGCUAACGGUGCAGAAGUCUUGACCAAGCAACUGGGUAGGUGAAGUACACCUCUAAGAAAAAGUUUAAGUCUGUCCCUUAUGUUUGAAUCUAUUAGCUUCUGUAAUUUUCAUUCACAAAAUUAGCCUUAAACAUUUUCUUUCUUUAAUUAUCCCAUCCCUUUGCCCCACCUUGAAAGAAGAAAAAGAACAAAAGUUCAUAGGAAUAUAUAAAAUAUGUAUUACAUUUAUUCAGGAGACUUGAAAGGGCUCCUUUGGAGCCAUUUGAGUCUCUCUAUCCCAGCCUAUCCAGCAAAUAUACAGUCACAUAGUUUUUAAUUUUUUUUUUUUUUUAUAAAAAUUAAUUUUUGUCUAGUCAAUAACCUUUUCAUUACAUUAAAAGGCCAGAGGAAACACUGCCAUCAUCUACUUUGGCCUCCUGCAUCAUACAGACCAUAUAGUACUCUGAAAAUACACGACCCUGUAUAGUCAGCUUGAUAGACUGUAACUGAUUAACGCAAUACAUAUUCAGUUUUGUAUUGUUCCACAGUUGAGAUCAUGACAAUAGCAAUAUGGAAAUGUUUAUUAAAAACUUUACGAAAAAGGUUACGGCACAUGAGCAGGAACCCAGAUUGCAGAACUGAAAAUAAUUUCAAUUUGUUUUUUCUUAACUCUCAUAAUUAUAGGCCCUGGUAGAAAAACAACUGUUCUAAAAAUAACAUUGUCGUAGAACUUUUACUCAUUUGAGUUCAAAACUAGAUCAGACAACAUCACUAAUUUACUCUGAAGUUAUUUGAAACUAGCCAGUAUGUAUUUGGGAAUUACAGUGAAAACAGUUGCUCCUACAUCUUUUACUUAAAGCAAACCUUUAUGACUCUGUUAUAGCC